This 405-nucleotide long non-coding RNA is filed under the name Vulpes vulpes (red fox). RNAcentral describes it as "lncRNA (ENSVVUG00000010775.1)". Lineage: Eukaryota; Metazoa; Chordata; Mammalia; Carnivora; Canidae. The record is from RNAcentral.
GUUUUUUCCAAAAGAUUUUCAAUCCUUUCUAUAUUUCUUGGCACAUUAUUUAUAAAUCUUCUACCCAAUGUUAUUUAUUUUCUAGCAUUUUGCUUCUUAGGAAAGAAAAAUAUAUUUGAAGGAAAAGACAGAUAAUAUUCCAGAGAUUUUUAUUCCAGAAAAGACAGAUUUCUAUUCCAGAAAAGACAGAGAAUACGUCCAUCUGAAAUAAUUUCCAAGAAAUCUUCAGAUCAGCCUGGAUCCAAUUUUCUUAACUCAUGAAUGGUUUUUGAGCACACAGUGGAUGGUGGGCAUUUAUAUUAUGUCUUCUUACAAGCAGACAUUGUCACACAAAAUCAGCGACAGCUUCUUGCAGCCUUGAAAGUAUUUAUGGAGUAUCACAGAGAUUACUAAAAUAUGCCAGUC